GCUUCUGUUUAUGUGUUAGUUUAACCUUUAUUUGGGUUUCAUGUUGUAAUGAUCUGCUUAUUUCUGCUUUCACUCUUGACCAGAUUCUAACUUCAGGUGACCCUUACUUACUCUUUUUUUUUUUUUUUUUAGAAUCUACCAGUGAAUAAAAACAUGGGAUUGUUUAAUCCUCUUAUAAAUGGCUACGUUCAGUAGGGGUCACACAGUGGUAACACGCCCAUUUGGGGAAAUUAAACUGAUUGUGAAAACAUGCUACAAUUUUUUUAAGCUAGUGCUUUUUAAAUAACUGAAAGUGAUAAUUUUAUAACUGAAUCAUGUAGAUCCAUUUUGAACAUUGUUUAUGGGAGGGUGAAAUGAUCUGGGCUCCAGUCCUCCCCUGUCUCAUUUACAGAGUGUGAAGAUUGGACUCCAUGACCUCCGUGUGCCCCACAACCCUGUAAUCCCGAGAUCUGCCUCUUUUCUGCUUCAUGAGUGUGACUGCAAUACAAGUAAGACAAAACCCUUCCGGACGUAGAGCUCCAUGUCUGGGACAUAAAUAAAGGGUCCCUUGAAAGGGAAUCGACAUAAGUUAAGCCUGCGCAUCUUUAAGUUUGUCCUUCCUUCGACCGGAUUCCUGUCCUUGCUCUUCCCACGGCGGGUCCGGCUUCUCUCCUACUGCAGGACUGCGGAUCAGAGCCAACUGUUUCUAUCGCUCUUACGACGUAUCUCGGAGGCUUGCACCAUGAUGGGUGUUUGUGGGCAAAAGGUAAGAAGGUCCAAAGACACACUCAGCUUUGCAGAAUGAAGAGACGCGGAGACGGAGUUAGGAGUAAGAAAAGGACAAAAAGAGGAAACAAAACAAAACAAAACAAAAAACAAGGCAGAGAAGCAAAGUCCAAAAAAAGAGAGACACUGAAAAUUAUUGGAAUGUUAAUUAUUUGGAGAUAUCUUCUUACAAGUUUGAUACCAAAGGAGUGCAGUUCUGUGAGAUGAAGAAUGUCUGUGAAAUAAUAGCUGAUACCUAACACUCCCAUCAAUUAGACACUCUUCUAACGUUAACACAUAUUAACCACUUUAAAGUAAAUCAAUUCUAUCAUCGAGGUCCUAUUAUUAUUCCUGCUUAACAGAUGAGGAACCAAAGUCUCAGAAAGGUAACGGACAACCACCAAAGUCCUGCAGCUAAACGUGGCAAGGCCAGGAUACAAAACUGGAGUUGUUGUUAGAGUACAUGGUCUAAAAGUUCUUCAUAAAAUAUAAAAAUACAAAUAUUGGUUAAGGUAAAUAAAUCUUUUUACUCCGUCCGUUCAAGCGUAGUAGCUUUGAG
RNAcentral lists this long non-coding RNA (1303 nucleotides) under Mustela putorius furo (domestic ferret). Its description in RNAcentral is "lncRNA (ENSMPUG00000029277.1)". The record is from RNAcentral. Lineage: Eukaryota; Metazoa; Chordata; Mammalia; Carnivora; Mustelidae.